Long non-coding RNA from Populus trichocarpa (black cottonwood), 963 nucleotides. RefSeq lists it as uncharacterized. The transcript is spliced from 2 exons. Lineage: Eukaryota; Viridiplantae; Streptophyta; Magnoliopsida; Malpighiales; Salicaceae. The record is from RefSeq and is a predicted model, not a curated record.
CCUGCAUGUGCAGUGUGUAUAUACAAGGUAAAUAAACACAUCAAAUAAAAAACCCAAGUCAAUGACCAACAACUUGCAAUCGAUUACAGAGAUAACUUUAAUCAAUGUUGGGUUAGGAAUUUAUUAGAAAUCUGAUGAAGCUAGUACCUCCUACCUCCAUUGGCGAGAAGCAAAGAAUAUUAGUCCAAAGCCAAACGCUAGCAAGUGAUAUUAUUCAAACAAACAAAAAAACCAUUCAAGUGUACAAAUUAACCAAUCUAAACAAAAUAAAAAAUAAAUAAAAAAAAAACAUUACAUACAUACAUACGUGUAUGGUUUGUUUGGUUAAUUUUUUAUUAGGAAACCAAACAGGCUUAUUACUGGACCAAGGCUCUGCCAAGGGGCAAAUGCAAUUAUAGAAUCACGCAGGCGCAGGCGCAGUGCUGUACAGAUCAAGAUAUAUCACAAGCGUUAAUUAAGAAAUAUGGAAUGAAAUGAACUUAACCUGUCUAAUAUGUCUAAAAUCAUCCAAGGACUUAGCCGAGAAGAGAUGGACGGAGCUGAUCUUCCGAAGCAUGCGCCACCGUGGCCCAUAGGGUGCAAACACAAGGUCUUGGUAAUUAUAUGCAAUAUGUUUGGCACCGGAGUUUGGUGGCCUGCUAGAGAAGUUGGAAUCAUGUACUUUCAAAAACUGAGCAGCCACGGAAGCCGAUGCCGCCACCACCACGUCGACGAAGCCGAACCGGAGGUGCAUGAGAGGUCCAUAAGUCUUUGCCAGGGCUGCCAUGGAGUGGUGAGGCAUAGGCCCCAAAUGGGGUAGGUUUCCAACUAGGGGCCAUGGUUUUGGGCCUGGUGGAAGGGGUUUGCCGUGACGGUCACGAAGGCUUCGCAGCUGAAGAAGGCAAUAGACGAAGAUGGCCAAUAGUGCCGAGUAAAGUAUUAGAGGAGACAUGAUUAUCUCUUGUUUCCUGUAUUAACUUGAAA